Molecule: ribosomal RNA, 254 nt
Filed under: uncultured bacterium
Lineage: Bacteria
Description: partial 16S ribosomal RNA
Rfam family: Bacterial small subunit ribosomal RNA
Source: RNAcentral
GACAGAGGGGGCAAGCGUUGCUCGGAAUUACUGGGCGUAAAGGGCGCGUAGGCGGGAUGGCAAGUCGGUCGUGAAAUCCCUCGGCUCAACCGAGGAACGUCGAUCGAUACUGCUGUUCUUGAGGAUUGCAGAGGAGACUGGAAUUCCCGGUGUAGCGGUGAAAUGCGCAGAUAUCGGGAAGAACACCCGUGGCGAAGGCGGCUCUCUGGGCUGACCUUGACGCUGAGGCGCGAAGGCGUGGGGAGCGAACGAGG